CAAGAUAGAGCAAAUGAACGAGGGAUAGAACUCAAAGAAUGGUUGUUUAAGAAACAAGAUAGUGAUCAACAAAUAUAACAACCUAGUUCUUAUACCACAAGCUCCAAGGUAGUCGAGAAGGAUUUAUAAACCGUCUCAGUUGAAUGGUUUGAACUUUAUGACUAAGUCAUAGAGUUACACCUCUUAAUUCGAAAGAAAUAAGAAUGAAAAUCCUUAUGACUACAUUGAGUGUAUAUA
This 237-nucleotide long non-coding RNA is filed under the name Malus domestica (apple). RNAcentral describes it as "long non-coding RNA (MDOM_LNC003002)". Lineage: Eukaryota; Viridiplantae; Streptophyta; Magnoliopsida; Rosales; Rosaceae. The record is from RNAcentral.